This 497-nucleotide ribosomal RNA is filed under the name uncultured bacterium. RNAcentral describes it as "bacterial SSU rRNA". It matches the Rfam family "Bacterial small subunit ribosomal RNA", at positions 501 to 1000 of the family's 1533-position model. The record is from RNAcentral.
CUACGUGCCAGCAGCCGCGGUAAUACGUAGGUGGCGAGCGUUAUCCGGAAUUAUUGGGCGUAAAGCGCGCGCAGGCGGAUUGGUCAGUCUGUCUUAAAAGUUCGGGGCUUAACCCCGUGAUGGGAUGGAAACUGCCAAUCUAGAGUAUCGGAGAGGAAAGUGGAAUUCCUAGUGUAGCGGUGAAAUGCGUAGAUAUUAGGAAGAACACCAGUGGCGAAGGCGACUUUCUGGACGAAAACUGACGCUGAGGCGCGAAAGCCAGGGGAGCGAACGGGAUUAGAUACCCUGGUAGUCCACGCUGUAAACGAUGUCGAUUUGGGGGUUGAGCUUUAAGUUUGGCGCCCGUAGCUAACGUGAUAAAUCGACCGCCUGGGGAGUACAGCCGCAAGGUUAAAACUCAAAUGAAUUGACGGGGGCCCGCACAAGCGGUGGAGCAUGUGGUUUAAUUCGAUGCAACGCGAAGAACCUUACCUACUCUUGACAUCCAGAGAACAUUC